CAAAAACACUCAAAAGUAAGGAGAAAUAUCAUUACGUUGAUUUAGAUUUUAGCUUCCUCUAUUAGAUGACGGAGAAUUACACAAAAUGGAGAAAUAGUUUCCUCCAUAACAAACGUUGCUUCAUUGUUUUAUGAAAUAUAGUUCAAUAUUUUAGUUGAGUAUUUUAUUUGAAGGAAAAGAUAAAUGUCAAUUUAAAAACGAAUAUUUAAAGGAAAAUGUAUAGCAUACUUAAAAGAAAAUUAAAAUUAUUUUACUUGACAAGGAGUUUAGAUGUUUUGAAGAGAAAUUUUUGUGAUGUGCCCAGAGUUGCUGGCUUCCGAAGUUAUGAAGAAGAGAGAUCGUGGAAACUUAAAGUACCAGAAAAGUUCAAUUUUGCCUCCGAUGUGAUAGAUCAAUGGGCUCAGAGAGAGAAGAAUGGACUUCGAAAUUCAGCAGUUCCUGCGUUCUGGUAUGUUUCAGAAGAUGGAAACGAGUU
This is a non-coding RNA of Parasteatoda tepidariorum (common house spider), 475 nucleotides long. The record is from RefSeq and is a predicted model, not a curated record. Lineage: Eukaryota; Metazoa; Arthropoda; Arachnida; Araneae; Theridiidae.